CCUACGGGCGGCAGCAGUGGGGAAUAUUGCACAAUGGGGGAAACCCUGAUGCAGCGACGCCGCGUGAGCGAUGACGUAUUUCGGUAUGUAAAGCUCUUUCAGCAGGGAAGAAAAUGACGGUACCUGACUAAGAAGCCCCGGCUAACUCCGUGCCAGCAGCCGCGGUAAUACGUAGGGGGCAAGCGUUAUCCGGAUUUACUGGGUGUUAAGGGAGCGUAGACGGCGGUGCAAGCCAGAUGUGAAAGCCUGGGGCUCAACCCCGGGACUGCAUUUGGAACUGUGCUGCUAGAGUGUCGGAGAGGCAGGCGGAAUUCCUAGUGUAGCGGUGAAAUGCGUAGAUAUUAGGAGGAACACCAGUGGCGAAGGCGGCCUGCUGGACGAUGACUGACGUUGAGGCUCGAAAGCGUGGGGAGCAAACAGGAUUAGAUACCCGUGUAGUC
This 440-nucleotide ribosomal RNA is filed under the name uncultured bacterium. Its description in RNAcentral is "partial 16S ribosomal RNA". It matches the Rfam family "Bacterial small subunit ribosomal RNA", at positions 338 to 795 of the family's 1533-position model. The record is from RNAcentral.